CCCUGCCUGCGAUCCCCGUCUCUCACUUUGCUGAGAGGGACUAUUAAAAACGAAAAAGAAGAAAUAAGCCAGGGACCCCAGCCAUCUGAAUAUAGCACCAAAAUCUGAUGCACCACAACAUCUUCAAGAAACGGCUGCUCUGAGAUCUUUUGUUCAUUUUGCAACUUUAUACAUCUAAACUCCUCCCUCUUCAGCAACCCAAAGGACUUUUCUUGUGAAUCAUCGUAUGAGAAUUAUCUCUUGAGAUAUUCUUCUCCAAUGGAACAGGCUAAAAGAUAUCAGGAGGAACAAAAGGAGCCCAGAAAAUCAGGUAAAGGGCUGGGGAAAGACUCAAGGACUUCAGAGAGAAAACUGUCCUCCCCCUAAAGCUGCAGAAGCGUUACAAAACCACAUUAGGAAGUAGUAAAAGAGACUCUCAUUGAGAUGCAGAGCAGGGAGAGAGCUCUGCCUACAAAGAAAAUUGAGAAAUGAGAAGCAGCAACAGAGAAGACUCUACACAAGUUGUGCGCCUGACCAGCAAGAAGUCUGUUUUCUGUCUUUCAGCUCCAGACCCUGAAAAAGGUGAUGACAUCCUAGAGCCACAGCUGCUUCAGCAGCCCUCUACAGAAGAGGAACACUAGUCCACACAUACACACCAUGACUCCAGUCUUUUAACAUUAAAAAAAACAAAACAACCAUCCCAAAGUGAUAAAAUACUGAAUGUUUCCUAAUGUACAGUAUCCUCAUAUACUUCUGUUAUCCCUCCUUCUCUGAAUAAAAACUUUUUAAACAGAGUGGCAUGCAUAGUUAGUUGUAAGAUAUAGAUGAUUACUCAUA
This is a long non-coding RNA of Catharus ustulatus (Swainson's thrush), 816 nucleotides long. RefSeq lists it as uncharacterized. The record is from RefSeq and is a predicted model, not a curated record. Lineage: Eukaryota; Metazoa; Chordata; Aves; Passeriformes; Turdidae. The transcript has 4 exons.